ACUGCAAUGCCCGCACUUCCGGACCCCAGACUCUUCCUACGGCGACUGACACCUCAGACACGCGUUGUGGGGGGCGGCGCUCUGGCUCCGGGGCUGUGCCCAGCGCGAGCGUGGCCGGCACCCACUUGCUGCAGAGCCGGCACUGCACUGGGGUUCUUGGGGGCGGCUCCUCCAGACGUCUCUGCGGGUUGUCGGGUGCUGCCGAGUUGGGUUGGGGGACGCUACAGGUAGUGGGUCCGGAGCAGCGGCUGGCCCCUCAUCUCACUGCCCUUCCUCGGACCCCACCGUCCUCUGGAAGCUUGUGCAGGGCACCUGCCACUGUGACCACCUGGACGCAGUGGGUUGUUUUUUCCGUUUCCAUCUCUGGCUAGUCUUGAAGGCUAGACUUGCGUAGGAGAGCAGACACGAGGACAUGAGCCAGUUCUGCUGAGCUGUUACUGUAUACCUGCUUUCCCACAACAGCAAGGAAGAACCAUGGCCCAGUUUCUACGAGACUUUUCUGUGCCUCCUUUGCCCAUGCCAGGCCUCUUGCUAGGAAUAUCCUUCAGACAUCAGAUCAUUCUGUU
This 566-nucleotide long non-coding RNA is filed under the name Homo sapiens (human). RNAcentral's name for it is "non-protein coding lnc-OCM-3:3". The record is from RNAcentral. Lineage: Eukaryota; Metazoa; Chordata; Mammalia; Primates; Hominidae.